UGCACCUACGGGAGGCAGCAGUGAGGAAUAUUGGUCAAUGGGCGAGAGCCUGAACCAGCCAAGUCGCGUGAGGGAGUACUGCCCUAUGGGUUGUAAACCUCUUUUGUCGGGGAGCAAAAGCCGGACGUGUCCGUCUGUGAGAGUACCCGAAGAAAAAGCAUCGGCUAACUCCGUGCCAGCAGCCGCGGUAAUACGGAGGAUGCAAGCGUUAUCCGGAUUUAUUGGGUUUAAAGGGUGCGUAGGCGGGCUGUUAAGUCAGCGGUCAAAUGUCGGGGCUCAACCCCGGCCUGCCGUUGAAACUGGCG
This 305-nucleotide ribosomal RNA is filed under the name uncultured bacterium. RNAcentral's name for it is "bacterial SSU rRNA". It matches the Rfam family "Bacterial small subunit ribosomal RNA", at positions 334 to 638 of the family's 1533-position model. The record is from RNAcentral.